This 492-nucleotide ribosomal RNA is filed under the name uncultured bacterium. RNAcentral's name for it is "bacterial SSU rRNA". It matches the Rfam family "Bacterial small subunit ribosomal RNA", at positions 29 to 524 of the family's 1533-position model. The record is from RNAcentral.
AUUGAACGCUGGCGGCAUGCCUAACACAUGCAAGUCGAACGGGGGCAGCAAUGCCCUAGUGGCGGACGGGUGAGGAAUACGUAGGAACCGGCCCACGAGUGGGGGACAACCUGGGGAAACCCAGGCUAAAACCGCAUACGCUCGCGAGAGGAAAGCGGGGGACCUUCGGGCCUCGCGCUGGUGGACGGGCCUACGUCCGAUUAGCUAGUUGGUGGGGUAAAAGCCUACCAAGGCGACGAUCGGUAGCUGGUCUGAGAGGAUGAUCAGCCACACUGGGACUGAGACACGGCCCAGACUCCUACGGGAGGCAGCAGUGGGGAAUAUUGGACAAUGGGCGCAAGCCUGAUCCAGCCAUGCCGCGUGCAGGAUGAAGGCCUUCGGGUUGUAAACUGCUUUGUACGGUAACGAAAAGGACUACUGGUUAAUACCUGGGUCCAUGACGGUACCGUAAGAAUAAGCACCGGCUAACUACGUGCCAGCAGCCGCGGUAAU